AGAGUAUGAUAGAGGAAAGCAGAAUUUCUAGUGUAGAGGUGAAAUUCGUAGAUAUUAGAAAGAAUACCAAUUGCGAAGGCAGCUUUCUGGAUCAUUACUGACACUGAGGAACGAAAGCAUGGGUAGCGAAGAGGAUUAGAUACCCUCGUAGUCCAUGCCGUAAACGAUGUGUGUUAGACGUUGGAAAUUUAUUUUCAGUGUCGCAGGGAAACCGAUAAACACACCGCCUGGGGAGUACGACCGCAAGGUUAAAACUCAAAUGAAUUGACGGGGACCCGCACAAGUAGUGGAGCAUGUGGUUUAAUUCGAAGAUACGCGCAGAACCUUACCAACACUUGACAUGUUCGUCGCGACUUUAAGAGAUUAAAGUUUUCGGUUCGGCCGGACGAAACACAGGUGCUGCAUGGCUGUCGUCAGCUCGUGUCGUGAGAUGUUGGGUUAAGUCCCGCAACGAGCGCAACCCUCACUUUUAGUUGCCAUCAUUAAGUUGGGCACUCUGAAAGAACUGCCAGUGAUAAGCUGGAGGAAGGUGGGGAUGACGUCAAGUCCUCAUGGCCCUUACGUGUUGGGCUACACACGUGCUACAAUGGUAUCUACAACAGGAAGCAAAACUGCGAAGUUAAGCAAAUCCCUAAAAGAUACCUCAGUUCGGAUUGCACUCUGCAACUCGAGUGCAUGAAGCUGGAAUUACUAGUAAUCGUGGAUCAGCGUGCCACGGUGAAUGCGUUCCCGGGUCUUGUACACACCGCCCGUCACACCAUGGGAGUUGGUUCUACCUUAAGGCAAGGUUUCAAACCCUUGACCACGGUAUAGUCAGCGACUGGGGUGAAGUCGUAACAAGGUAGCCGUAGGGGAACCUGCGGCUG
This 866-nucleotide ribosomal RNA is filed under the name marine metagenome. RNAcentral's name for it is "bacterial SSU rRNA". It matches the Rfam family "Bacterial small subunit ribosomal RNA", at positions 643 to 1520 of the family's 1533-position model. The record is from RNAcentral.